This 897-nucleotide ribosomal RNA is filed under the name Raphidiopsis sp. UFMG233. RNAcentral describes it as "bacterial SSU rRNA". It matches the Rfam family "Bacterial small subunit ribosomal RNA", at positions 420 to 1333 of the family's 1533-position model. The record is from RNAcentral. Lineage: Bacteria; Bacillati; Cyanobacteriota; Cyanophyceae; Nostocales; Aphanizomenonaceae.
GGGUCGUAAACCUCUUUUCUCAAGGAAGAAGAAAGUGACGGUACUUGAGGAAUAAGCAUCGGCUAACUCCGUGCCAGCAGCCGCGGUAAUACGGAGGAUGCAAGCGUUAUCCGGAAUGAUUGGGCGUAAAGGGUCUGCAGGUGGAACUGAAAGUCUGCUGUUAAAGAGUUUGGCUUAACCAAAUAAAAGCGGUGGAAACUACAGAACUAGAGUGCGGUAGGGGCAAAAGGAAUUCCUGGUGUAGCGGUGAAAUGCGUAGAUAUCAGGAAGAACACCGGUGGCGAAAGCGUUUUGCUAGACCGUAACUGACACUGAGGGACGAAAGCUAGGGGAGCGAAUGGGAUUAGAUACCCCAGUAGUCCUAGCCGUAAACGAUGGAUACUAGGCGUGGCUUGUAUCGACCCGAGCCGUGCCGGAGCUAACGCGUUAAGUAUCCCGCCUGGGGAGUACGCACGCAAGUGUGAAACUCAAAGGAAUUGACGGGGGCCCGCACAAGCGGUGGAGUAUGUGGUUUAAUUCGAUGCAACGCGAAGAACCUUACCAAGACUUGACAUCCUGCGAAUCCCAGUGAAAGCUGGGAGUGCCUUAGGGAGCGCAGAGACAGGUGGUGCAUGGCUGUCGUCAGCUCGUGUCGUGAGAUGUUGGGUUAAGUCCCGCAACGAGCGCAACCCUCGUUUUUAGUUGCCAGCAUUAAGUUGGGCACUCUAGAGAGACUGCCGGUGACAAACCGGAGGAAGGUGAGGAUGACGUCAAGUCAGCAUGCCCCUUACGUCUUGGGCUACACACGUACUACAAUGCUACGGACAGAGGGCAGCGAGCCAGGGAUGGCAAGCGAAUCCAGAAACCGUAGCUCAGUUCAGAUCGAAGGCUGCAACUCGCCUUCGUGAAGGAGGAAUC